This 666-nucleotide ribosomal RNA is filed under the name uncultured bacterium. Its description in RNAcentral is "bacterial SSU rRNA". It matches the Rfam family "Bacterial small subunit ribosomal RNA", at positions 43 to 726 of the family's 1533-position model. The record is from RNAcentral.
CGUGCUUAACACAUGCAAGUCGAGCGGUAAGGCCUUUCGGGGUACACGAGCGGCGAACGGGUGAGUAACACGUGGGUGAUCUGCCCUGCACUUCGGGAUAAGCCUGGGAAACUGGGUCUAAUACCGGAUAUGACCUCCUAUCGCAUGGUGGGUGGUGGAAAGAUUUAUCGGUGCAGGAUGGGCCCGCGGCCUAUCAGCUUGUUGGUGGGGUAAUGGCCUACCAAGGCGACGACGGGUAGCCGACCUGAGAGGGUGACCGGCCACACUGGGACUGAGACACGGCCCAGACUCCUACGGGAGGCAGCAGUGGGGAAUAUUGCACAAUGGGCGAAAGCCUGAUGCAGCGACGCCGCGUGAGGGAUGACGGCCUUCGGGUUGUAAACCUCUUUCAGCAGGGACGAAGCGCAAGUGACGGUACCUGCAGAAGAAGCACCGGCUAACUACGUGCCAGCAGCCGCGGUAAUACGUAGGGUGCAAGCGUUGUCCGGAAUUACUGGGCGUAAAGAGUUCGUAGGCGGUUUGUCGCGUCGUUUGUGAAAACCAGCAGCUCAACUGCUGGCUUGCAGGCGAUACGGGCAGACUUGAGUACUGCAGGGGAGACUGGAAUCCUGGUGUAGCGGUGAAAUGCGCAGAUAUCAGGAGGAACACCGGGUGGCGAAGGCGGGU